ACUCCUACGGGAGGCAGCAGUGGGGAAUCUUGCGCAAUGGACGAAAGUCUGACGCAGCAACGCCGCGUGAGGGACGAAGGCUUUCGAGUUGUAAACCUCUUUCGACAGGAACGAUUGUGACGGUACCUGUAGAAGAAGCACCGGCCAACUAUGUGCCAGCAGCCGCGGUGAUACAUAGGGUGCAAGCGUUAUUCGGAUUUAUUGGGCGUAAAGAGCUCGUAGGCGGUUCGACAAGUCGGGUGUUAAACCCCCAGGCUCAACCUGGGGCCGCCACCCGAAACUGUCGUACUAGAGUUUGGUAGGGGAUCACGGAAUUCCUGGUGUAGCGGUGGAAUGCGCAGAUAUCAGGAGGAACACCAGUAGCGAAGGCGGUGAUCUGGGCCAAUACUGACGCUGAGGAGCGAAAGCGUGGGGAGCGAACAGGAUUAGAUACCCUGGUAGUCCACGCCGUAAACGGUGGGCACUAGGUGUGGGGACUUUUCAACGGUUUCCGCGCCGCAGCUAACGCAUUAAGUGCCCCGCCUGGGGAGUACGGUCGCAAGACUAAAACUCAAAGAAAUUGACGGGGGCCCGCACAAGCAGCGGAGCAUGUGGCUUAAUUCGAUGCAACGCGAAAAACCUUACCUAGAUUUGACAUGCUGGGAAAAGCCACAGAGAUGUGGUGUCCUUCGGGGCUCAGCACAGGUGGUGCAUGGCUGUCGUCAGCUCGUGUCGUGAGAUGUUGGGUUAAGUCCCGCAACGAGCGCAACCCUUGUUCUAUGUUGCCAGCACGUAAUGGUGGGGACUCGUAGAAGACUGCCGGGGUCAACUCGGA
Molecule: ribosomal RNA, 814 nt
Filed under: uncultured Actinomycetes bacterium
Lineage: Bacteria; Bacillati; Actinomycetota; Actinomycetes
Description: bacterial SSU rRNA
Rfam family: Bacterial small subunit ribosomal RNA
Source: RNAcentral